RNAcentral lists this ribosomal RNA (506 nucleotides) under uncultured bacterium. RNAcentral describes it as "bacterial SSU rRNA". It matches the Rfam family "Bacterial small subunit ribosomal RNA", at positions 15 to 507 of the family's 1533-position model. The record is from RNAcentral.
GAUCAUGGCUCAGGAUGAACGCUAGCUACAGGCUUAACACAUGCAAGUCGAGGGGGAAACGACAUCGAAAGCUUGCUUUUGAUGGGCGUCGACCGGCGCACGGGUGAGUAACGCGUAUCCAACCUGCCCAUCACUUGGGGAUAACCUUGCGAAAGUAAGACUAAUACCCAAUGACGUCUCUAGAAGACAUCUGAAAGAGAUUAAAGAUUUAUCGGUGAUGGAUGGGGAUGCGUCUGAUUAGCUAGUUGGCGGGGCAACGGCCCACCAAGGCGACGAUGCGUAGGGGUUCUGAGAGGAAGGUCCCCCACAUUGGAACUGAGACACGGUCCAAACUCCUACGGGAGGCAGCAGUGAGGAAUAUUGGUCAAUGGGCGUAAGCCUGAACCAGCCAAGUAGCGUGAGGGAAGACUGCCCUACGGGUUGUAAACCUCUUUUGUUUGGGAAUAAAGUGCGGGACGUGUCCCGCAUUGCAUGUACCAUUUGAAUAAGGACCGGCUAAUUCCGUG